GGAGGGAUGGGUGAGCGGUUGAAACCGGCGGUCUUGAAAACCGCUGUACCGGAAACGGUACCGGGGGUUCGAAUCCCUCUCCCUCCGCCA
This 90-nucleotide transfer RNA is filed under the name Acidobacteriota bacterium. RNAcentral's name for it is "Acidobacteria bacterium tRNA-Ser". It matches the Rfam family "tRNA". From Rfam's summary of the family: Transfer RNA (tRNA) molecules are approximately 80 nucleotides in length. Their secondary structure includes four short double-helical elements and three loops (D, anti-codon, and T loops). Further hydrogen bonds mediate the characteristic L-shaped molecular structure. tRNAs have two regions of fundamental functional importance: the anti-codon, which is responsible for specific mRNA codon recognition, and the 3' end, to which the tRNAs corresponding amino acid is attached (by aminoacyl-tRNA synthetases). tRNAs cope with the degeneracy of the genetic code in two manners: having more than one tRNA (with a specific anti-codon) for a particular amino acid; and 'wobble' base-pairing, i.e. permitting non-standard base-pairing at the 3rd anti-codon position. Lineage: Bacteria; Pseudomonadati; Acidobacteriota. The record is from RNAcentral.